Molecule: ribosomal RNA, 231 nt
Filed under: uncultured soil bacterium
Lineage: Bacteria
Description: partial 16S ribosomal RNA
Rfam family: Bacterial small subunit ribosomal RNA
Source: RNAcentral
AGAUUGAACGCUGGCGGCAGGCCUAACACAUGCAAGUCGAGCGGCAGCACGGGUACUUGUACCUGGUGGCGAGCGGCGGACGGGUGAGUAAUGCCUAGGAAUCUGCCUGGUAGUGGGGGAUAACGCUCGGAAACGGACGCUAAUACCGCAUACGUCCUACGGGAGAAAGCAGGGGACCUUCGGGCCUUGCGCUAUCAGAUGAGCCUAGGUCGGAUUAGCUAGUUGGUGAGG